AGCAGCGGGGGGAGGGCUCCGGUGCGGGUUGGGCUCGGGGCUGCGCGCUCGCCCGCGGACCUGCUCCUCCUCCCGCUGCUGCUGGAGGAGGAAGAGGAGGAGCAGCGGCGGAGGCGGCCACCAGCGCCCCGUGCGCCUCCUCGGCGCCCCCGGGGAGAAGCGAAUAAUCCUGCGGGAGGUCGGACCUGAGCCGUGGCCGGGGAAAAGGCAGGAGCAGGAGGAGGAGGAGGAGGAGGAGGAGGAGGAGGAGGAGGAGCUGUGGCAGCUGCGGCUGGGGUGGAGGCGCUCCCCCGCCCCCCCGGACUGCCGCUGUCCUGCGCCGCCCUGCGCCGCGCUCCUCUCCUCCGUGCGCCCCGCGAUGUGAGCCGCUGCCCGUCCGGCCGGGGCUCUGGCGAGGAAACUCACUUCAAAAGCAGCUGCAUCGAGGGGGAGAUUAAAGCCCUUUGCCGCCUUCCAAUCAAAUGGGAGCCCGAGGGCCCGGGUUCUUUCCUUCCCACGAAGGUCGGAGUUCAGGAACUCGCUGUAUUUUCUAAGCGCUCACGAAGAUGCCGUUUCAAGUUCAUUUCGCUGGCAGGAGUUUAAAGCGGGUGGAGAUCAGGAAGGAGAGAGGGAGAGGAAUUGUGUGUGUGGAUUGUGGGUGAUGUAUUGACUUGUUUCAAUAAGGAUAUUCUAUUAGCAAUAUCACCGAUGUAUCGCUACGGCGUCUGGGUCGCGCACUCCUUCCUUUCUGAUCCUAUGGAAUGGGAUGGGGAGGGCACUUAAACAUUUUAAAAAUACAAGCAAUAAAAAGUCUGCGGAGCUUUAAACUCGAGAAACCUGCGGAGAGAGAGACGGGGCUCGGGCUUCGUGCAGCGCUAAUUCUCCAACGCCUUUCGCCUCCGGGGCGCGAUCUCUUUCUCUAGAAAUAAAAACAAACAAGAGCCACCCCGGUCGCUCGCGGGCCGGCAGUCCGGUUCGGCGGCCCCCGAGACCCUCGGUCUCUUUUCCUCCGGCGGCUCCGAAGAAUGGGGGACGGGGGCUGGUGAGCCCCCCAUCCCGGGACCUUGUUUCGUCCCCCUGGAGCCGCCGACCUCCCUUUUUUACAGCUGCACCGGUCCCCCCCCCCACCCCCCCGAAUACACCGGCUUCUAUAAAAAUCCUUCUCCGAGUCACUGGUAUUUCUGUUGUUUCUAUACGAUAGGGUGAAUAUGUCACACCUUGCGGUUAAUUAGAUGCCGUAACUAUGUAGCUAGAUCUAGCCUACCUAAGCCGACAGAUGAGGAUCUAUUUGGACAUUUCAUAAAAAUAAUAAUAAAAAAAACUACGUGGCUGGAGAUACCCCUGCCGUUUUAAGGAUAUUUAUAUAGCAAGAUAUAUUUUACCUCUGUCGUUAUAUU
Molecule: long non-coding RNA, 1376 nt
Filed under: Ornithorhynchus anatinus (platypus)
Lineage: Eukaryota; Metazoa; Chordata; Mammalia; Monotremata; Ornithorhynchidae
Description: lncRNA (ENSOANG00000036808.1)
Source: RNAcentral